This 489-nucleotide ribosomal RNA is filed under the name uncultured bacterium. RNAcentral describes it as "partial 16S ribosomal RNA". It matches the Rfam family "Bacterial small subunit ribosomal RNA", at positions 30 to 507 of the family's 1533-position model. The record is from RNAcentral.
UUGCACGCUGGCGGCAUGCCUUACACCUGCAAGUCGAACGGCAGCAUGAUCUAGCUUGCUAGAUUGAUGGCGAGUGGCGAACGGGUGAGUAAUACAUCGGAACGUGCCCUGUAGUGGGGGAUAACUAGUCGAAAGAUUAGCUAAUACCGCAUACGACCUGAGGGUGAAAGUGGGGGACCGCAAGGCCUCAUGCUAUAGGAGCGGCCGAUGUCUGAUUAGCUAGUUGGUGAGGUAAAGGCUCACCAAGGCGACGAUCAGUAGCUGGUCUGAGAGGACGAUCAGCCACACUGGGACUGAGACACGGCCCAGACUCCUACGGGAGGCAGCAGUGGGGAAUUUUGGACAAUGGGCGAAAGCCUGAUCCAGCAAUGCCGCGUGUGUGAAGAAGGCCUUCGGGUUGUAAAGCACUUUUGUCCGGAAAGAAAUGGCUCUGGUUAAUACCUGGGGUCGAUGACGGUACCGGAAGAAUAAGGACCGGCUAACUACGUG